ACGAACGCUGGCGGCGUGCCUAAUACAUGCAAGUCGAGCGAAGUUUUUCUGGUGCUUGCACUAGAAAACCUUAGCGGCGAACGGGUGAGUAACACGUAAAGAACCUGCCUCAUAGACUGGGACAACUAUUGGAAACGAUAGCUAAUACCGGAUAACAGCAUUAACUGCAUGGUUGAUGUUUAAAAGUUGGUUUUGCUAACACUAUGAGAUGGCUUUGCGGUGCAUUAGCUAGUUGGUGGGGUAAAGGCCUACCAAGGCGACGAUGCAUAGCCGACCUGAGAGGGUGAUCGGCCACACUGGGACUGAGACACGGCCCAGACUCCUACGGGAGGCAGCAGUAGGGAAUCUUCCGCAAUGGGCGAAAGCCUGACGGAGCAACGCCGCGUGAGUGAAGAAGGAUUUCGGUUCGUAAAGCUCUGUUGUUAGGGAAGAAUGAUUGUGUAGUAACUAUACACAGUAGAGACGGUACCUAACCAGAAAGCCACGGCUAACUACGUG
Molecule: ribosomal RNA, 498 nt
Filed under: uncultured bacterium
Lineage: Bacteria
Description: partial 16S ribosomal RNA
Rfam family: Bacterial small subunit ribosomal RNA
Source: RNAcentral